Molecule: non-coding RNA, 329 nt
Organism: Campylobacter ureolyticus ACS-301-V-Sch3b
Lineage: Bacteria; Pseudomonadati; Campylobacterota; Epsilonproteobacteria; Campylobacterales; Campylobacteraceae
Rfam family: Bacterial RNase P class A
About the family: Ribonuclease P (RNase P) is a ubiquitous endoribonuclease, found in archaea, bacteria and eukarya as well as chloroplasts and mitochondria.
Source: Rfam
UCGGUGCAAUGAACGAUCGCGUUAAUACGAGGAAAGUCCGAGCUGCUCUAAGAUGUAGUUCCAUUUAACGAAUGGCUGGGGUAACCCAAGGGAUAGUGCAACAGAAAGUAAACUACCACUUUAUUUUGAUGAGGUGGAAAAGGUGAAAUGGUGGGGUAAGAGCCUACCAGCGUUUUUGGUAACAUCAACGGCUUUGCAAACCCAACUUGCAGCAAGAAGGGAUGGUUUAAUCUUAGAAUAAAACCCUUCGCUUGAACUAAAUUGUAAAAUUUAGUCUAGAUAAAUGAUCGUUUGAAAAACAGAACUCGGCUUAUAGUUGCACCGAAAUU